CGAAUAUAAGAGACGUCUUUUAGCUUUUAACUAAAAAAACUAAAAAAUGUCUCCUAAAUAAGAGAUAUAAAAUAUAUCUUUUAGUUUUUUUAGUUAAAAGCUAAGAGACGUCUCUUAUAUUCG
Brassica napus (rape) is the source of this 123-nucleotide non-coding RNA. NCBI's taxonomy places the organism in Eukaryota, Viridiplantae, Streptophyta, Magnoliopsida, Brassicales, Brassicaceae. The record is from Rfam.